CGACUUACCAACCCUUUGCAAACUCCGAAUACCAGUAAGUACUAUCCGGGAGACACACGGCGGGUGCUAACGUCCGUCGUGGAGAGGGAAACAACCCAGACCGCCAGCUAAGGUCCCAAAGUAUUGCUAAGUGGGAAACGAUGUGGGAAGGCUCAGACAGCUAGGAUGUUGGCUUAGAAGCAGCCAUCAUUUAAAGAAAGCGUAAUAGCUCACUAGUCGAGUCGGCCUGCGCGGAAGAUGUAACGGGGCUAAGCAAUACACCGAAGCUGCGGCAAUGUCUUUUAGACAUUGGGUAGGGGAGCGUUCUGUAAGCCGUUGAAGGUGAAUCGUAAGGUUUGCUGGAGGUAUCAGAAGUGCGAAUGCUGACAUGAGUAACGACAAAGGGGGUGAAAAACCUCCUCGCCGGAAGACCAAGGGUUCCUGUCCAACGUUAAUCGGGGCAGGGUGAGUCGACCCCUAAGGUGAGGCCGAAAGGCGUAAUCGAUGGGAAACGGGUUAAUAUUCCCGUACUUCUGACUAUUGCGAUGGGGGGACGGAGAAGGCUAGGUGGGCCAGGCGACGGUUGUCCUGGUUCAAGUGCGUAGGCUUGAGAGUUAGGUAAAUCCGGCUCUCUCUAAGGCUGAGACACGACGUCGAGCUACUACGGUAGUGAAGUCAUUGAUGCCAUGCUUCCAGGAAAAGCCUCUAAGCUUCAGAUAGUCAGGAAUCGUACCCCAAACCGACACAGGUGGUCGGGUAGAGAAUACCAAGGCGCUUGAGAGAACUCGGGUGAAGGAACUAGGCAAAAUGGUACCGUAACUUCGGGAGAAGGUACGCUCUUGAUGGUGAAGUCCCUCGCGGAUGGAGCUGACGAGAGUCGCAGAUACCAGGUGGCUGCAACUGUUUAUUAAAAACACAGCACUGUGCAAAAUCGCAAGAUGACGUAUACGGUGUGACGCCUGCCCGGUGCCGGAAGGUUAAUUGAUGGGGUUAGCGCAAGCGAAGCUCUUGAUCGAAGCCCCGGUAAACGGCGGCCGUAACUAUAACGGUCCUAAGGUAGCGAAAUUCCUUGUCGGGUAAGUUCCGACCUGCACGAAUGGCGUAAUGAUGGCCACGCUGUCUCCACCCGAGACUCAGUGAAAUUGAAAUCGCUGUGAAGAUGCAGUGUACCCGCGGCUAGACGGAAAGACCCCGUGAACCUUUACUACAGCUUGGCACUGAACAUUGAACCUACAUGUGUAGGAUAGGUGGGAGGCUAUGAAGACGUGACGCCAGUUGCGUUGGAGCCGUCCUUGAAAUACCACCCUUGUAUGU
Molecule: ribosomal RNA, 1293 nt
Filed under: Vibrio cholerae
Lineage: Bacteria; Pseudomonadati; Pseudomonadota; Gammaproteobacteria; Vibrionales; Vibrionaceae
Description: partial 23S ribosomal RNA
Rfam family: Bacterial large subunit ribosomal RNA
Source: RNAcentral